RNAcentral lists this ribosomal RNA (1481 nucleotides) under metagenome. RNAcentral describes it as "bacterial SSU rRNA". It matches the Rfam family "Bacterial small subunit ribosomal RNA". The record is from RNAcentral.
AGAGUUUGAUCCUGGCUCAGGAUGAACGCUAGCGGCAGGCCCAAUACAUGCAAGUCGAGGGGUAACAGGUGUAGCAAUACAUGCUGACGACCGGCGCACGGGUGCGUAACACGUAUAUAAUCUACCUUUUACUGGAGAAUAGCCCGAAGAAAUUCGGAUUAAUACUCCAUAAUAAUAUUGAGGGGCAUCUCUUGAUAUUUAAAGUUCAGACGGUAAAAGAUGAGUAUGCGCGAUAUUAGCUAGUUGGUGAGGUAACGGCUCACCAAGGCGACGAUAUCUAGGGGUACUGAGAGGUUACACCCCCACACUGGUACUGAGACACGGACCAGACUCCUACGGGAGGCAGCAGUAAGGAAUAUUGGACAAUGGUCGCAAGACUGAUCCAGCCAUGCCGCGUGCAGGAUGACUGCCCUAUGGGUUAUAAACUGCUUUUAUACGGGAAUAAACCCGGGUACGUGUACCCGGCUGAAUGUACUGUAAGAAUAAGGGUCGGCUAACUUCGUGCCAGCAGCCGCGGUAAGACGAAGGACCCAAGCGUUAUCCGGAUUCAUUGGGUUUAAAGGGUGCGUAGGCGGGUUGAUAAGUCAGUGGUGAAAGCCCAACGCUUAACGUUGGAACUGCCAUUGAUACUGUCGAUCUUGAAUGUGUUUGAUGUGGGCGGAAUAUGACAUGUAGCGGUGAAAUGCUUAGAUAUGUCAUAGAACACCGAUUGCGAAGGCAGCUCACAAAGCCACUAUUGACGCUGAGGCACGAAAGCGUGGGGAUCAAACAGGAUUAGAUGCCCUGGUAGUCCACGCCGUAAACUUUGAUCACUCGCUGUUGGCGAUACACUGUCAGCGGCUAAGCGAAAGCGUUAAGUGAUCCACCUGGGGAGUACGGUCGCAAGACCGAAACUCAAAGGAAUUGACGGGGGCCCGCACAAGCGGUGGAGCAUGUGGUUUAAUUCGAUGAUACGCGAGGAACCUUACCAGGGCUUGAAAGUUAGCGACUUACCGUGAAAGCGGUGAUCCCUUCGGGGCGCGAAACUAGGUGCUGCAUGGCUGUCGUCAGCUCGUGCCGUGAGGUGUUGGGUUAAGUCCCGCAACGAGCGCAACCCCUACUUCUAGUUGCCAACAGGUAAUGCUGGGGACUCUAGAGGAACUGCCCGCGCAAGCGGUGAGGAAGGUGGGGACGACGUCAAGUCAUCACGGCCCUUACGUCCUGGGCUACACACGUGCUACAAUGGCGGAGACAACGGGCAGAUACACUGCGAAGUGAUGCUAAUCUCUAAACUCCGUCUCAGUUCGGAUUGAAGUCUGCAACUCGACUUCAUGAAGCUGGAAUCGCUAGUAAUCGCGUAUCAGCAAUGACGCGGUGAAUACGUUCCCGGGCCUUGUACACACCGCCCGUCAAACAAUGGAAGCUGGGAGUACCUAAAGUCAGUAGUCGCAAGACGCUGCCUAGGGUAAAACCGGUAACUGGUGUUAAGUCGUAACAAGGUA